Long non-coding RNA from Leptinotarsa decemlineata (Colorado potato beetle), 424 nucleotides. NCBI's taxonomy places the organism in Eukaryota, Metazoa, Arthropoda, Insecta, Coleoptera, Chrysomelidae. The record is from RefSeq and is a predicted model, not a curated record.
CUGUAUUCUGUGGUAUAACCUGUUGAAUCUCAUGUGUCAAACAUCACUAUCACAUUUAAAAUAGAAAAAUUUUAUUGAGGAAUUCAACGAAUUUAUUAAUGUAAAAUUAAAUUAUUUUACCGUAUUAACUUCAUUUGUCAUAUUUAUGUCUCUUGACUUGUGUACAAUAAAUCAUCUUCCUAUAGGUACACAUAUUUUAAUAUGUUCUGUCAGGUGUUUUUUUAACAAUGCUUUUCAACCUCCAUGACGCUCCUCUCCCUGGAGACGAUAAUAUUCACUGUCGGAAUAAUCGGAAUUAUAGUAUGACUACACUUUCUAAUUUGCUGCUCUACCCAAAUAUUCACUUUUUCAGGUGUUAGACAAAUACAGACCAUGUUCCAACUCAAAUUGUUUUUAAUGAUUCUAAUAUACGAAGGAAACUGCA